RNAcentral lists this ribosomal RNA (865 nucleotides) under uncultured bacterium. RNAcentral's name for it is "bacterial SSU rRNA". It matches the Rfam family "Bacterial small subunit ribosomal RNA", at positions 9 to 873 of the family's 1533-position model. The record is from RNAcentral.
AGAGUUUGAUCCUGGCUCAGGAUGAACGCUAGCGGCAGGCCUAACACAUGCAAGUCGAACGGUAACAGCACUUCGGUGGCUGACGAGUGGCGCACGGGUGAGUAACGCGUAUGCAACCUACCUUUCACAGUGGGAUAGCCCAGAGAAAUUUGGAUUAAUACCGCAUAGUAUACGGGACCAGCAUUGGAUCUGUAUUAAACAUUUAUGGGUGAGAGAUGGGCAUGCGUUCUAUUAGUUAGUUGGAGUGGUAACGGCACCCCAAGACGGCGAUAGAUAGGGGCCCUGAGAGGGGGAUCCCCCACACUGGUACUGAGACACGGACCAGACUCCUACGGGAGGCAGCAGUGAGGAAUAUUGGACAAUGGGCGCAAGCCUGAUCCAGCCAUGCCGCGUGCAGGAAGACGGCCCUAUGGGUUGUAAACUGCUUUUAUACAGGAAGAAACACCCCGACGUGUCGGGGCUUGACGGUACUGUAGGAAUAAGGAUCGGCUAACUCCGUGCCAGCAGCCGCGGUAAUACGGAGGAUCCAAGCGUUAUCCGGAAUCAUUGGGUUUAAAGGGUCCGUAGGUGGACGAUUAAGUCAGAGGUGAAAUCCUGCAGCUCAACUGUAGAAUUGCCUUUGAAACUGGUUGUCUUGAAUCAUUGUGAAGUGGUUAGAAUAUGUGGUGUAGCGGUGAAAUGCAUAGAUAUCACAUAGAAUACCGAUUGCGAAGGCAGAUCACUAACAAUGUAUUGACACUGAUGGACGAAAGCGUGGGGAGCGAACAGGAUUAGAUACCCUGGUAGUCCACGCCGUAAACGAUGGAUACUAGCUGUACGGACUUCGGUCUGUGUGGCUAAGCGAAAGUGAUAAGUUCCCACCUGG